This 745-nucleotide ribosomal RNA is filed under the name uncultured bacterium. RNAcentral describes it as "bacterial SSU rRNA". It matches the Rfam family "Bacterial small subunit ribosomal RNA", at positions 33 to 773 of the family's 1533-position model. The record is from RNAcentral.
ACGCUGGCGGCAGGCCUAACACAUGCAAGUCGAGCGGUAGAGAGAAGCUUGCUUCUCUUGAGAGCGGCGGACGGGUGAGUAAUGCCUAGGAAUCUGCCUGGUAGUGGGGGAUAACGUUCGGAAACGGACGCUAAUACCGCAUACGUCCUACGGGAGAAAGCAGGGGACCUUCGGGCCUUGCGCUAUCAGAUGAGCCUAGGUCGGAUUAGCUAGUUGGUGAGGUAAUGGCUCACCAAGGCGACGAUCCGUAACUGGUCUGAGAGGAUGAUCAGUCACACUGGAACUGAGACACGGCCCAGACUCCUACGGGAGGCAGCAGUGGGGAAUAUUGCACAAUGGGCGCAAGCCUGAUGCAGCCAUGCCGCGUGUGUGAAGAAGGCCUUAGGGUUGUAAAGCACUUUCAGCGAGGAGGAAGGCGCUGUAGUUAAUAGCUGCAGCGAUUGACGUUACUCGCAGAAGAAGCACCGGCUAACUCCGUGCCAGCAGCCGCGGUAAUACGGAGGGUGCAAGCGUUAAUCGGAAUUACUGGGCGUAGAGCGCACGCAGGCGGUUUGUUAAGUCAGAUGUGAAAUCCCCGAGCUUAACUUGGGAACUGCAUUUGAAACUGGCAAGCUAGAGUCUUGUAGAGGGGGGUAGAAUUCCAGGUGUAGCGGUGAAAUGCGUAGAGAUCUGGAGGAAUACCGGUGGCGAAGGCGGCCCCCUGGACAAAGACUGGCGCUCAGGUGCGAAAGCGUGGGGAGCAAAC